Molecule: non-coding RNA, 1185 nt
Organism: Pelobates cultripes (western spadefoot toad)
Lineage: Eukaryota; Metazoa; Chordata; Amphibia; Anura; Pelobatidae
Source: the annotation of a GenBank genome assembly
GGGAUCCCGUACACUCUCAAACUUUGAUCUCUACUGUGAAUCUCAUUAGACUUAGACGCCUUAGACGUAAACACUUAUAGAUAUUUUAUAAGAUGUUACACGAUGGGCUCAAGGGACAAUUACCACACUGCACGUCAUGCUGGAAUAGGGAACUUAACAUCAAUCUCACUCCUAGAGAAUGGGACAUUAUAUUUCAAGGCAUACACAAAUCAUCGGUGAGCAAUUCUAUACAGGAGAGUAACUAUAAGAGAAUAUCCAGAAGGCACUACUCACCAACUAACCUACAAAAUCUCUUUCCACACACGACAGAUACAUGCUGGAGAUGUGGUCAACCAGGGAGAAUGACCACUUACGUUUGGUGGACUUGUCCCAUCAUACAAACUUACUGACGGAGAGUGAAAUGAUCCUGGCACACACCCCUAAAAAUAUGCUGUUCCUAUUAUACUCCAAUCCUACUCCUAAACCACAACAUGGUAUUAAUGACCCACUUGUUGACAGCUACCAACCUCCUCAUUCCAGUUAAAUGGAAAAGUACUCACGCCCCUUCCCUACGAGUGGCUACAAAAGGUAGAAUCACUCAGGGUGAUGGAGGAAAUAAUGGCUUCUCUAACUAGUAAAUAUCUAACAUACUCCUCUACUUGGGAGCCUUGGUAAAAUACUUAAACACUAACCCUUCUUUUUUUAGAUAAAUACCGAAAUGCUUAAACACCCUACGUGACUGGCAACACUUCAUGCUCAGGUGAAGUCUACUGGGAAGGAGGACGCUAGUCAAUAACUAGAAGUUUACAUAUGCAUGGAGAGACAGAAUGUGAAAUCUUACAAGAGCCUCUAUCAUAAUGUAACUUUUGUUUUUUGUCUUCCCACGCUUGAAAUUAUUUAAGGUUCCAGACACCCGGAAAAUUCACAAUACAUAUUAUUGGCCACGGGGUGCUGCAUUCUGUCUGCUUUUUCCUUCAGCGAAGCAACUCAAAGACCCUAGUUAGGGUGGUUGGACUAAUAUGUCCAUGGUUCUCAUGUUUGCAAAACAACAAAAUUGUCAUGCGAUUUUUGUGCUUUUCUGAUAUAUCCUACACUACACAAGCAUAUCAUACUUAUGUUAAACCUUAGUGACAUGUAAUAUGUCCGGUGGGGGCCACGGACUGGAACACUACCGAAUGGAUAAUCAUAACCUAUCACCACCUGGCC